GGCCUGAACGUGCCAAACUAUCUUAUUUCCUUGACAGGGAAGGGGUCGAGGGUUCGAAUCCCUCACAGGUCA
This 72-nucleotide transfer RNA is filed under the name Bacillus sp. V2I10. Its description in RNAcentral is "tRNA-Ser". Lineage: Bacteria; Bacillati; Bacillota; Bacilli; Caryophanales; Bacillaceae. The record is from RNAcentral.